UAGGGAAUAUUGCAAAAUGGGCGAAAGCCCGAUGCAGCAACGCCGCGUGGGCGAUGAAGGCCUUCGGGUCGUAAAGCCCUUUUUGAGGGGAUGAGGAAGGACAGUACCCUCAGAAUAAGCCUCGGCUAACUACGUGCCAGCAGCCGCGGUAAAACGUAGGAGGCGAGCGUUAUCCGGAUUUACUGGGCGUAAAGCGCGUGCAGGCGGAUUGGAGAGUUGGAUGUGAAAGCUCCCGGCUUAACUGGGGGAGGUCGUUCAAUACUUCCAGUCUUGAGUGCAGUAGAGGGAAGUGGAAUUCCGGGUGUAGUGGUGAAAUGCGUAGAUAUCCGGAGGAACACCAGUGGCGAAAGCGGCUUCCUGGACUGUAACUGACGCUCAGACGCGAAAGCUAGGGUAGCAAACG
This 403-nucleotide ribosomal RNA is filed under the name uncultured bacterium. RNAcentral describes it as "bacterial SSU rRNA". It matches the Rfam family "Bacterial small subunit ribosomal RNA", at positions 355 to 774 of the family's 1533-position model. The record is from RNAcentral.